Molecule: ribosomal RNA, 495 nt
Filed under: uncultured bacterium
Lineage: Bacteria
Description: partial 16S ribosomal RNA
Rfam family: Bacterial small subunit ribosomal RNA
Source: RNAcentral
GAUGAACGCUGGCGGCGUGCCUAAUACAUGCAAGUAGAACGCUGAGGGAGGGGCUUGCUCUUCUGGAUGAGUGGCGAACGGGUGAGUAACGCGUGGGUAACCUGCCUGGUAGCGGGGGAUAACUAUUGGAAACUAUAGCUAAUACCGCAUAACAACAGUUAUUGCAUGAUGACUGUUGAAAAGGGGCGACUGCUCCACUACCAGAUGGAGCUGCGUUGUAUUAGGUAGUUGGUGAGGUAACGGAGCACGAAGGCGAGGAUACAUCGCGGCACUGAGAGGGGGAUUGGCCACACUGGGAGGGAGACACGGCCCAGACGCCUACGGGAGGCAGCAGGAGGGAAUCGUCGGCAAUGGACGGAAGUUUGACCGAGCAACGCCGCGGGAGUGAAGAAGGGUGUCGGAUCGUAAAGCUCUGUUGUAAGAGAAGAAAGAGCGUGAGAGUGGAAAGUUCACACUGUGACGGUAUCUGAUCAGAAAGGGACGGCUAACUACGUG